CAGGAAAACACCUCUUUUUCCCCCCCAGUUCCACAGCCGGGCACCCAAACCCAACGGCGGCCACGGGGCGGCCCCUCCCCAGCUCAGACGGUGGCCUCCACCUCGGGGGGCUCAUCCCCCUCCAGCAGGCUGUAUGCUGCGUGGCUCUGGAAGGGCCUCUGCAGGGGAUGCGCCAGCAGUUUGGCCAUGCAGUUGUGCAGCUCCACCGCCGGCCCCGUCAGCGUCACCUCGUACCUGUAGUUGGUGCCCUUGGUGUCCAGGCUGCCAAAGAAGGCAUACAGCUCCUUCCAGCUGGUCUCGUCCUCCUUCUCCUCCGCCCCAUUGUGGAUAUAGACGACGUCGAAGAAGAAAUAGGGGCACUGCAGCAUCUUCUUCAUCUGCUCUGACACAGAGAACUGGGGCUGGCAGCCGGGGCGGCCGAGCACCAGGAUGGUGCGCACCACGUAGGGCGGGGGGAUGGUCUGCACGUUGUCCGUCACCGGCAGCUCGAUCUUCUGCUGGAUGAGGUUGAAGAGCCCGUCCAGAUUGAAGGACUUGCAGACGACGGUCUCCAGGUCGUAGAGGCAGCUGCAGACCUCACGGGGGUCUGAGGUGAACCCUGAAAGCCACGUGGCGUCGUUGUUCACCACCACCAGUGCAAACUCGUGGCUCUUGUCAAUCUUGUGCUUCGUCCUCACAAACAUCUCAAUCAUCUUCUGUGAGAUGUUCAGCGCGUUGGUCUUGGAGCCAUUGAACGACUCCAGCUUGGGCAGAGCCAUCUCCUCAGCCAGGUCCAGGCAGAUGAUCACCUUCUCAGGGCAAUUCACCCGCGGUGUCUUCACCUGCACCUCGGGGGGGGGAUGUGCGGGGCCGGGCCAGGCGGUGCCAUCGGGGGCAGCGGUUCCCUGCGGGCUGUCCUCGCUGCUGGCCGCCUCCCCCUCCCCCUCGCUGCGGUUCCCCACGCUGCUCUGAGCGCUCAAUGCCCGAUCCUCGGCGCCCUCAGGGUUGGAGCGGGUGCGCGGCCGCUGCUCCGGAGCCUUUUCCUCCUCCUCCUCAGCAGCACUGCCCGGCCCCGACGUGUCCAUCCCGCAGCUGCGCUCCAUGGCACCGCUCUGGGGGGGCCGCUCUCGGCCGCCCGAGCCCCGCCCGGCG
RNAcentral lists this long non-coding RNA (1131 nucleotides) under Gallus gallus (chicken). The record is from RNAcentral. Lineage: Eukaryota; Metazoa; Chordata; Aves; Galliformes; Phasianidae.